GUGAAUAAGUAAGAUAAAAGACGACCAAAGACAAAAAAAAGGAAGAAAAAAAUACCUUAUUUGAACUAAAACCAAAUACAAAUCACAAGAAAUGAGAAAAGAGUUUCGAGAAAAAUAGAAAUAAAAAUGAAAGACAAAUAAUAAAAGGGCAUAAAAAAAUAUCUAAAAAAGAGAAGAAGACUGACCAAUUAACAUUUCUUUAAAC
This 205-nucleotide long non-coding RNA is filed under the name Lathyrus oleraceus (garden pea). RNAcentral's name for it is "Pisum sativum (pea) long non-coding RNA (PSAT_LNC023239)". Lineage: Eukaryota; Viridiplantae; Streptophyta; Magnoliopsida; Fabales; Fabaceae. The record is from RNAcentral.